UACGUAGGGGGCAAGCGUUGUCCGGAAUCAUUGGGCGUAAAGAGCGUGUAGGCGGCCCGGUAAGUCCGCUGUGAAAGUCCAGGGCUCAACCCUGGGAUGCCGGUGGAUACUGUCGGGCUCGAGUCCGGAAGAGGAGUGUGGAAUUCCUGGUGUAGCGGUGAAAUGCGCAGAUAUCAGGAGGAACACCAAUGGCGAAGGCAGCACUCUGGGACGUGACUGACGCUGAGACGCGAAGGCUAGGGGAGCAAACGGG
Molecule: ribosomal RNA, 253 nt
Filed under: uncultured bacterium
Lineage: Bacteria
Description: partial 16S ribosomal RNA
Rfam family: Bacterial small subunit ribosomal RNA
Source: RNAcentral